UACGUAGGUGGCAAGCGUUGUCCGGAUUUACUGGGCGUAAAGGGUGCGUAGGCGGACCUUUAAGUGAGAUGUGAAAUCCCCGAGCUUAACUUGGGGGCUGCAUUUCAAACUGGAGGUCUAGAGUGCAGGAGAGGAGAGUGGAAUUCCUAGUGUAGCGGUGAAAUGCGUAGAGAUUAGGAAGAACACCAGUGGCGAAGGCGACUCUCUAGACUGUAACUGACGCUGAGGCACGAAAGCGUGGGGAGCAAACAGG
RNAcentral lists this ribosomal RNA (253 nucleotides) under uncultured bacterium. Its description in RNAcentral is "partial 16S ribosomal RNA". It matches the Rfam family "Bacterial small subunit ribosomal RNA", at positions 524 to 776 of the family's 1533-position model. The record is from RNAcentral.